AUUGAACGCUGGCGGCAGGCCUAACACAUGCAAGUCGAGCGGAGCGGCGGACGGGUGAGUAAUGCCUAGGUAUCUGCCUGGCAGUGGGGGAUGACGUCCGGAAACGGGCGCUAAUACAGCAUACUUUCCGUCGAGCCUAGGGCGGAUUAGCUAGCUGGUGGGGUAAAGGCCUACAAAGCCGACCAUCCGUAACUGGUCUGAGAGGAGGAUCAGUCACACUGGAACUGAGACACGGUCCAGACUCCUACGGGAGGCAGCAGUGGGGAAUAUUGGACAAUGGGCGAAAGCCUGAUCCAGCCAUGCCGCGUGUGUGAAGAAGGUCUUCGGGUUGUAAAGCACUUUAAGCUGGGAGGCGUUACCAGCAGAAGAAGCACCGGCUAACUUCGUGCCAGCAGCCGCGGUAAUAC
This 407-nucleotide ribosomal RNA is filed under the name uncultured bacterium. Its description in RNAcentral is "partial 16S ribosomal RNA". It matches the Rfam family "Bacterial small subunit ribosomal RNA", at positions 30 to 526 of the family's 1533-position model. The record is from RNAcentral.